RNAcentral lists this ribosomal RNA (498 nucleotides) under uncultured Glomeromycotina. Its description in RNAcentral is "partial small subunit ribosomal RNA". It matches the Rfam family "Eukaryotic small subunit ribosomal RNA", at positions 591 to 1091 of the family's 1831-position model. The record is from RNAcentral. Lineage: Eukaryota; Fungi; Glomeromycota.
CCAAUAGCGUAUAUUAAAGUUGUUGCAGUUAAAAAGCUCGUAGUUGAAUUUCGGAAUCAAUAUGUUGGUCGUGCCUUGGUACGUACUGGCGUCAUUGGUUUCUACCUUCUGAAGAACCUCGAUGUCAUUAAUUUGGUGUCUUGGGGAAUCAGGACUGUUACUUUGAAAAAAUUAGAGUGUUUAAAGCAGGCUCACGCUUGAAUACAUUAGCAUGGAAUAAUGAAAUAGGACGUUUGAUUCUAUUUUGUUGGUUUCUAGGAUCGACGUAAUGAUUAAUAGGGAUAGUUGGGGGCAUUAGUAUUCAAUUGUCAGAGGUGAAAUUCUUGGAUUUAUUGAAGACUAACUACUGCGAAAGCAUUUGCCAAGGAUGUUUUCAUUAAUCAAGAACGAAGGUUAGGGGAUCGAAGACGAUCAGAUACCGUCGUAGUCUUAACCAUAAACUAUGCCGACUAGGGAUCGGAUGAUGUUAAUUUUUUAAUGACUCAUUCGGCGCCUUAC